Molecule: non-coding RNA, 31 nt
Filed under: Mus musculus (house mouse)
Lineage: Eukaryota; Metazoa; Chordata; Mammalia; Rodentia; Muridae
Source: RNAcentral
UGACCGUAGUGUGUAAACCAUCUUAAUUGUC